GCGGCGUACCUAAUACAUGCAAGUCGAACGCACAGCGAAAGGUGCUAGACACCUUUCAAGUGAGUGGCGAACGGGUGAGUAACACGUGGUACAACCUGCCUCAAGGCUGGGGAUAACAUUGUGGAAACAGAUGCUAAUACCGAAUAAAACUAUAGCUGUCGCAUGACAACAAAGUUAAACACGGCGACUUCGGCGUCACCUAGAGAUGGAUCCGCGGUGCAUUAGUUAGUUGGUGGGGUAAAGGCCUACCAAGACAAUGAUGCAUAGCCGAGUUGAGAGACUGAUCGGCCACAUUGGGACUGAGACACGGCCCAAACUCCUACGGGAGGCUGCAGUAGGGAAUCUUC
Molecule: ribosomal RNA, 347 nt
Filed under: Leuconostoc mesenteroides
Lineage: Bacteria; Bacillati; Bacillota; Bacilli; Lactobacillales; Lactobacillaceae
Description: bacterial SSU rRNA
Rfam family: Bacterial small subunit ribosomal RNA
Source: RNAcentral